RNAcentral lists this ribosomal RNA (107 nucleotides) under Citrobacter koseri. RNAcentral describes it as "partial 16S ribosomal RNA". It matches the Rfam family "Bacterial small subunit ribosomal RNA", at positions 1427 to 1533 of the family's 1533-position model. RNAcentral also lists the same sequence under 2 other names. The record is from RNAcentral. Lineage: Bacteria; Pseudomonadati; Pseudomonadota; Gammaproteobacteria; Enterobacterales; Enterobacteriaceae.
UAGGUAGCUUAACCUCCGGGAGGGCGCUUACCACUUUGUGAUUCAUGACUGGGGUGAAGUCGUAACAAGGUAACCGUAGGGGAACCUGCGGUUGGAUCACCUCCUUA